This is a long non-coding RNA of Trifolium pratense (red clover), 413 nucleotides long. RefSeq lists it as uncharacterized. The record is from RefSeq and is a predicted model, not a curated record. The transcript is spliced from 2 exons. Lineage: Eukaryota; Viridiplantae; Streptophyta; Magnoliopsida; Fabales; Fabaceae.
CAUUCAUUAUUUCUCCUCUAGGCCGUGAGCCUUUCUUUGCAUUCCUAACCUCACCAAAAUUCCAUUCCUUAACCAAAUUGAUCCAUUAGAAGCUUGUUGGAACCAUAGGAGUUCAUGGAUCAUCAUCUCUAAGCUAGAGCCAAGGAAGUGGUGUGCUUGGGCAAGAUGAGGUAGAGGCCGUGAGAGAGAGGAGGAGCUUGAGAGCUAGAGAAAUCUUGAGGAAUCAUCGAGGCUAAGGUUGACAGGUUAUCUGUUAGCCUUGUCCGAGUUCGUGGUGAAGCUCCGCUCUGAUUAUGACACGGGGUAAAAAGGGGUUUUAUAUAUGUAUAGAUUCCUUUAGAAAAAUACUCUGUAAUCGUUUAUGUUUUCAUGUAAGAUAUAUAUUCUUAAUGAAAAGUAUUUGUUUUGUAUAA